UGGGGAAUAUUGGACAAUGGGCGAAAGCCUGAUCCAGCCAUGCCGCGUGUGUGAAGAAGGUCUUCGGAUUGUAAAGCACUUUAAGUUGGGAGGAAGGGCAUUAACCUAAUACGUUAGUGUUUUGACGUUACCGACAGAAUAAGCACCGGCUAACUCUGUGCCAGCAGCCGCGGUAAUACAGAGGGUGCAAGAGUUAAUCGGAAUUACUGGGCGUAAAGCGCGCGUAGGUGGUUUGUUAAGUUGGAUGUGAAAUCCCCGGGCUCAACCUGGGAACUGCAUUCAAAACUGACUGACUAGAGUAUGGUAGAGGGUGGUGGAAUUUCCUGUGUAGCGGUGAAAUGCGUAGAUAUAGGAAGGAACACCAGUGGCGAAGGCGACCACCUGGACUAAUACUGACACUGAGGUGCGAAAGCGUGGGGAGCAAACA
This 427-nucleotide ribosomal RNA is filed under the name uncultured bacterium. Its description in RNAcentral is "partial 16S ribosomal RNA". It matches the Rfam family "Bacterial small subunit ribosomal RNA", at positions 355 to 774 of the family's 1533-position model. The record is from RNAcentral.